RNAcentral lists this non-coding RNA (151 nucleotides) under Rhodomonas sp. CCMP768. Lineage: Eukaryota; Cryptophyceae; Pyrenomonadales; Pyrenomonadaceae. The record is from RNAcentral.
UCAGCCAAGACACACUCUACAUCUUGGUCCCAGAGGUGUCAGCGCUAUUGCGAGGGCCUUCCUAUUUGUGCGGUAUUGGCACCAACAAUUUGGCAUCUCGCCGCGGUGUGGGCCAUACCAUUUUUCUGGAGUGUCAGCGACUGCAACCCAC